This 403-nucleotide ribosomal RNA is filed under the name bacterium. Its description in RNAcentral is "partial 16S ribosomal RNA". It matches the Rfam family "Bacterial small subunit ribosomal RNA", at positions 355 to 776 of the family's 1533-position model. The record is from RNAcentral.
UGGGGAAUAUUGCACAAUGGGGGAAACCCUGAUGCAGCGACGCCGCGUGAACGAAGAAGGUAUUCGUAUCGUAAAGUUCUGUCCUAUGGGAAGAUAAUGACAGUACCAUAGAAGAAAGCUCCGGCUAAAUACGUGCCAGCAGCCGCGGUAAUACGUAUGGAGCGAGCGUUGUCCGGAAUUAUUGGGCGUAAAGGGUACGCAGGCGGUUUAAUAAGUCGAAUGUUAAAGAUCGGGGCUCAACCCCGUAAAGCCUUGGAAACUGAUAAACUUGAGUAGUGGAGAGGAAAGUGGAAUUCCUAGUGUAGUGGUGAAAUACGUAGAUAUUAGGAGGAAUACCAGUAGCGAAGGCGACUUUCUGGACACAAACUGACGCUGAGGUACGAAAGCGUGGGGAGCAAACAGG